Molecule: ribosomal RNA, 699 nt
Filed under: Raoultella sp.
Lineage: Bacteria; Pseudomonadati; Pseudomonadota; Gammaproteobacteria; Enterobacterales; Enterobacteriaceae
Description: bacterial SSU rRNA
Rfam family: Bacterial small subunit ribosomal RNA
Source: RNAcentral
AGGCCUAACACAUGCAAGUCGAGCGGUAGCACAGAGAGCUUGCUCUCGGGUGACGAGCGGCGGACGGGUGAGUAAUGUCUGGGAAACUGCCUGAUGGAGGGGGAUAACUACUGGAAACGGUAGCUAAUACCGCAUAACGUCGCAAGACCAAAGUGGGGGACCUUCGGGCCUCAUGCCAUCAGAUGUGCCCAGAUGGGAUUAGCUAGUAGGUGGGGUAAUGGCUCACCUAGGCGACGAUCCCUAGCUGGUCUGAGAGGAUGACCAGCCACACUGGAACUGAGACACGGUCCAGACUCCUACGGGAGGCAGCAGUGGGGAAUAUUGCACAAUGGGCGCAAGCCUGAUGCAGCCAUGCCGCGUGUAUGAAGAAGGCCUUCGGGUUGUAAAGUACUUUCAGCGAGGAGGAAGGCAUUAAGGUUAAUAACCUUAGUGAUUGACGUUACUCGCAGAAGAAGCACCGGCUAACUCCGUGCCAGCAGCCGCGGUAAUACGGAGGGUGCAAGCGUUAAUCGGAAUUACUGGGCGUAAAGCGCACGCAGGCGGUCUGUUAAGUCAGAUGUGAAAUCCCCGGGCUCAACCUGGGAACUGCAUUUGAAACUGGCAGGCUUGAGUCUUGUAGAGGGGGGUAGAAUUCCAGGUGUAGCGGUGAAAUGCGUAGAGAUCUGGAGGAAUACCGGUGGCGAAGGCGGCCCCCUGGAC